GUCCUUGCCGUAAACGAUGUAUACUUGAUGUAAUUGGGCUCAACCCCGAUUGUGUCGGAGCUAACGCGAUAAGUAUACCGCCUGGGGAGUACGCUCGCAAGGGUGAAACUCAAAAGAAUUGACGGGGGCCCGCACAAGCAGUGGAGCAUGUGGUUUAAUUCGAUGCAACGCGAAGAACCUUACCCAGGCUCGAAAUGUAAUGGACGAUAUCAGAGAUGAUAUUUCCGCAAGGACUAUUAUAUAGGUGCUGCAUGGCUGUCGU
RNAcentral lists this ribosomal RNA (262 nucleotides) under uncultured bacterium. RNAcentral's name for it is "partial 16S ribosomal RNA". It matches the Rfam family "Bacterial small subunit ribosomal RNA", at positions 793 to 1055 of the family's 1533-position model. The record is from RNAcentral.